UUUUUUAUUUUUUAUUUUUAAUUUAAAUUCUCUUUGUUAAUGCUAUUUGAUUUUGAAAUCUUGGCCAUCGAUGCAAUUUUUCAAGUGACCUUACCAUGAGGUCAAGUAUACUGAUCAAAUUAAAAUAGCAAAAAGAAUGGAGGAAGAAUAUUUCUUUAGUUAGAAAAGGUAAACUAAAGCUGGUGGAGUUGAAGAGGAUAGAGAAGAGAGCCUUGGAAAUCAUGAAUUUGAAUUUGAAUUUGGCAGUGAUGAUGGGGGAGACUAUGUUACUCUUGAUGAUGAGUAGUUAUCUUGUGGUUGUUGUGGGGAUUAUUGCCAUUUACUGGAAUGUACAAAUAUGAUUUAGGAACUUUUAACAUUUUCAAUCAAUUUUAUUUUGUUUAUGUUUCAAGAACAUUGGUGCUACUGUGCUAGAACUCCAAAUGUUUCAUGUUAUUAACAUUAAUAGUUGUCUUUAUUAAUUUUGUGCCUUGUGCCUUUAA
This 482-nucleotide unclassified non-coding RNA is filed under the name Hevea brasiliensis (rubber tree). The record is from RNAcentral. Lineage: Eukaryota; Viridiplantae; Streptophyta; Magnoliopsida; Malpighiales; Euphorbiaceae.